This 2413-nucleotide long non-coding RNA is filed under the name Chinchilla lanigera (long-tailed chinchilla). RNAcentral describes it as "lncRNA (ENSCLAG00000023293.1)". Lineage: Eukaryota; Metazoa; Chordata; Mammalia; Rodentia; Chinchillidae. The record is from RNAcentral.
AUGCUCUUAAAUCAACUGAGAGAAAUCACAGGCAUUCAAGAUCCAUCCUUCCUUCAUGAAGCGUUAAAGGCCAGUAAUGGUGACAUCACCCAGGCAGUCAGCCUGCUUACGGAUGAAAGAGUUAAGGAGCCCACUCAAGACGCUGUUGCCGCUGAACCAUCUGAGGUAGAGGGGAGUGCCGCCAACAAAGAAGUGUUAGCAAGUAGGUAUCUCCUGUCCUGGUGCUUCUUGAAACUAGCUGAAUAAUAAGAGUGAGAGCCGGGUGUGGUGGCGCACCUCUGUAAUCCCAGCACUCGGGAGGCUGAGGUAGGAGGAUCAUUGCGAGUUCGAGACCAGCCUGGGCUGCAAAGUGAGCUCAAGACCAGCCUGAACUGCAUAGUGAGACCCUGUCUCAAAAAGACGAAAAAAAAAGGAACGAGUACAUAUGAGUUCCUGUCAAUCAGAUCAACCCUUUGAAUAGCAAGUAUUGAGCCAUUACUAGGUCCAGGCACAAUUCCAAUCUCUUCAGUGUAUUCUCAUUCACUCAUUCUGUAGCAUUUAUUCAGUGAGCACCAACUAUGUGUCAGAAUACUUUUGAAUACCAGCCUUUGUGUAGCUCCAUGCUUCAGUUGAAGGAGAUCAAACAGAUUAUAAUAUGUUCUAAUAGCAUAUUAGAACAUGAAAAAUAGCGUAGAAAAAAAUACGGGGCUGAAUGAAAGAAGUGGAAAAGGGAGGCCUGGAAUUUCAAGUAGACUGGGCCUUUUAAGAAAGUACCAGGCAGGAUUGGGGAGAGUCAACAGAGGACCUAUGGUGGGAGCUUAUCCACCUUGCUUAAAGAGACCAGAGCUGAGGCUGGGUGAGUGAGGAGGGCUCUGAGGAUCAUAGUGGCACCAGGCACCAUAGUGCACCAUACAUACAUCCCAGCACUUGAGAAGCUGAGGCAGGAGCAUCUCGUUAGGAGUUCGAGACCAGCCUGGGUUACAAAGUGAGCUCAGGGCCAGCCUGAACUGCAUGGUGAGACCCUGUCUCAAAAAGACAAAAAAAAAAAAAAAAAAAAAAAAAAGAAUCCUGGUGGGAGCAGGAGGCAGUAGAAGGUGCUUAGAGAGGAAUGUUGUUAGGGAAAGGGAGAAGUUAAAGAUGACUCUACAUUUUCUCUAAGCACCUUGUUGUAGUCAGGGUUUACAAGGAAAACAAUAACAAUACAGGACACAAUAUAUAGGAUUAUUUUAUAGUAGUUACCCAAAGAGUUUAGUACAAAAGAGUGCAGGAGCCAGGCGUGGUGGCGCACGCCUGUAAUCCCAGCACUCGGGAGGCUGAGGCAGGAGGAUUAUUGUGAGUUUGAGGCCAGCCUAGGCUACAAAGUGAGCUCAGCGCUAGCCUGAACUGUAUAGCAAGACCCUGUUUCAAAAAGCCAAAAAAAAAAUAAAAGAGUGCAGGAAAUCUGUCCACACGCCAAGACCCAAGGAAUCCAGCUGAGGGCCUGGAUCCCACGGCACUGUCCUGCACGAGUCCAGCUGCAGACCUAGAGCCCAUGGCAGUGCCCCCUGCCCCGAGUCCAACUGGAGGCCAAGAGCCCACGACAGUGCCUCAUACCUGCCUGUGUCAAGGAUCUGCACUAAGAACCCAAGGUCAGUGGUGGAGGCUGGAAAGUCUGUGCCAAUGGGAUGAGGGAUCUGUGGUAGCAGGCUGAGGGAUCUGCACUGGGGCCAAGAAGCGACACUGAAGAACCAGAGCUCCCGGGAAAAUUACCACAGCCAUCCUCAGCAACAGUGAGGCCCUGAGCUCCUCCGACUAGAACAGCUGAGUUCCCAUCAGGAAAGCCAGCGUGACAAGCUUCUCCAGGAGAGGGAACAGUGCACCAUCUUCUCCCCCUAGAGCCGGGAAGCGUUGCUCAAAGUAAGGACCAGAGCUCCCCCAAAGUGAACUGUAGCCAUUCUCAGCAGCAAGGUCCUGAGCUCCUUCGAUGAGAACAGCUGAGUUCCUGUCAGGAAAGCCAGCAUGACAAGCUCCUCCAGGAGAACCAACGGCCCCCCACCCAACUACGUCUCUUCUUUCUCUCCAGUUUUCCUUUUUACUUUGUUGGCAACAGUCUCAGGUGGGCCUGCCACACCCAGCACCACCUGAUUCAGUUCAACUGGGUGUUACAAGUUGACCACCAGUUGUCAAUCCACCACACAUCUGAAAGGAUGGAGUUGCAUUUAGCAGAGGUGGAAUAUCUGUAGGUGGGGAAGGUUUAGGAUGGAGGACAAAGAGAUUGGGUUUUUUUUUUUUUUUGUCUUUUUGAGACAGGAUCUCCUCUAUGCAGUUCAGGCCGAUCUUGAGCUCACUUUAUAGUCCAAGUUGGUCUCGAACUUGCAGUGAUCCUCCUGCCUCAGCCGCCCUAUUACAGGCAAAGAGAUUGGUUUUAUAAUGGUAAGUUUGUGUUUUUUUUGUG